RNAcentral lists this non-coding RNA (110 nucleotides) under Microbacterium ginsengisoli. RNAcentral's name for it is "TPP sequence". It matches the Rfam family "TPP riboswitch aptamer (THI element)". Rfam says of the family: Vitamin B(1) in its active form thiamin pyrophosphate (TPP) is an essential coenzyme that is synthesised by coupling of pyrimidine and thiazole moieties in bacteria. The previously detected thiamin-regulatory element, thi box was extended, resulting in a new, highly conserved RNA secondary structure, the THI element, which is widely distributed in eubacteria and also occurs in some archaea. Lineage: Bacteria; Bacillati; Actinomycetota; Actinomycetes; Micrococcales; Microbacteriaceae. The record is from Rfam by way of RNAcentral.
GAUGUCAACCACGGGAGUCCGGUGUGCCGGGCUGAGAGGAAGCGGAUCGCGCUUCGACCGUCGAACCUGAUCUGGGUCAUGCCAGCGCAGGAAGGGAGUAUUUCGUGCAU